RNAcentral lists this long non-coding RNA (468 nucleotides) under Salvia miltiorrhiza (redroot sage). RNAcentral's name for it is "long non-coding RNA (SMIL_LNC005158)". Lineage: Eukaryota; Viridiplantae; Streptophyta; Magnoliopsida; Lamiales; Lamiaceae. The record is from RNAcentral.
GCGCCAUAACCAUCAUCGUUCCUGAUCUCGAAGACGCUUCCAUGUGGUCGAACAAUAUGCAUGUUCAUCCAGCUACAAUGAGCCAGUAGACGGCUGAUUGUCUCCACUGUAUGCCUAUUCUUCUCCAUUGUCUCUGCCUGGUUUAUUGAGAGACACGAGCUGAUGAUUCGUAUCCAGCACGACUGUCAGGCAGAAACAGUUUAGAAAACAUAUUAUAAUUAUAAUAAUAAUAAAAAAAACAUCAGUAGAGGAAAAGUGAACAAGUAUUGACUAUAUUCAGUCUGUGUAUUAAAUAAAGACAUGAUAUAAUAAGAAAAUAAACACCAAAAGCAGAGAAAACAAAAUUUAGAAUCUUUACGCAGCAGGCUUUACCUACAGGUGCUCUCCUAUCUUAGCAGCAGUUUGGCCAGCACUAGAUAUACGUGAAUCCAACCUUGCAAAACUAUCAAACAAGCUGCCAACACAUUU